RNAcentral lists this ribosomal RNA (484 nucleotides) under uncultured bacterium. RNAcentral's name for it is "partial 16S ribosomal RNA". It matches the Rfam family "Bacterial small subunit ribosomal RNA", at positions 30 to 507 of the family's 1533-position model. The record is from RNAcentral.
AUUGAACGCUGGCGGCAGGCCUAACACAUGCAAGUCGAGCGGAUGAAGGGAGCUUGCUCCUGGAUUCAGCGGCGGACGGGUGAGUAAUGCCUAGGAAUCUGCCUGGUAGUGGGGGAUAACGUCCGGAAACGGGCGCUAAUACCGCAUACGUCCUGAGGGGGAAAGUGGGGGAUCUUCGGACCUCACGCUAUCAGAUGAGCCUAGGUCGGAUUGGCUAGUUGGUGGGGUAAAGGCCUACCAAGGCGACGAUCCGUAACUGGUCUGAGAGGAUGAUCAGUCACACUGGAACUGAGACACGGUCCAGACUCCUACGGGAGGCAGCAGUGGGGAAUAUUGGACAAUGGGCGAAAGCCUGAUCCAGCCAUGCCGCGUGUGUGAAGAAGGUCUUCGGAUUGUAAAGCACUUUAAGUUGGGAGGAAGGGCAGUAAGUUAAUACCUUGCUGUUUUGACGUUACCAACAGAAUAAGCACCGGCUAACUUCGUG